This 251-nucleotide long non-coding RNA is filed under the name Bos indicus x Bos taurus (hybrid cattle). Its description in RNAcentral is "lncRNA (ENSBIXG00000027145.1)". Lineage: Eukaryota; Metazoa; Chordata; Mammalia; Artiodactyla; Bovidae. The record is from RNAcentral.
AACGGGAUGGAAUUCAGAAGAUCCUUUUUCAUAUGAGGGUGUCCUUGAUGUCCAGACAUCCAGUAUAGACAUUCAGGGAAAUUGUUCUAGCUGUGCUUUCAGGUACCCACCCUGCCCACUCCCAUUUUGGAUAAAAUGCCCCAGCCACAGCACCUGCUGUGGUGAUCAUCAAUUCACAGGUUCAGCUGCUGUCAUCGCAGAGGGUUGAACUAGGCUUCCAAAGCCUGGAUGCCUCUGUUGGUUUCUCCUGU